AGUUCGAUCAUGGCUCAGAUUGAACGCUGGCGGGAUGCUUACACAUGCAAGUCGAACGGCAGCACGGACUUCGGUCUGGUGGCGAGUGGCGAACGGGUGAGUAAUGUAUCGGAACGUGCCUAGUAGCGGGGGAUAACUACGCGAAAGGUAGCUAAUACCGCAUACGGCCUCGGGGGAAAGCGGGGACCUUCGGGCCCUCGCACCAUUAGAGCGGGCCGAUAUCGGAUUAGCUAGUUGGUGGGGUAACGGCUCAACAAGGCGACGAUCCGUAGCUGGUUUGAGAGGACGACCAGCCACACUGGACCGAGAUACGGCCCAGACUCCUACGGGAGUGCAGCAGGGAAUUUUUGGACAAUGGGGGAAACCCCGAUCCAGCCAUCCCGCGUGUGCGAUGAAGGCCGGGUUGUAAAGCACUUUUGGCAGGAAAGAAACGGCACGGGAUAAUACCCCGUGCAACUGACGGUACCCAGAAUAAGCACUGGCUAACUACGUGCCAGCAGCUGCGGUAAUACGUAGGGUGCAAGCGUGACUGAAUUACUGGGCGUAAAGCGUGCGCAGGUGGUUCGGAAAGAAAGAUGCGGAAAUCCUGAGCUUAACUUUGGAACUGCAUUUUAAUCAAUGAGCUAGAGUGUGUCAGAGGGAGGUGAAAUUCCGCGUGUAGCAGUGAAAUGCGUAGAUAUGCGGAGGAACACCGGAUGGCGAAGGCAGCCUCCUGGGAUAAAUACUGACGCUCAUGCACGAAAGCGUGGGGAGCAAACAGGAUUAGAUACUCCUGGUAGUCCACGCCCUAAACGAUGUCAACUAGCUGUUGGGGCCUUCGGCCUUGCAGCGCAGCUAAUGCGGUGUGAAGUUGACCGCUCGGGGAGCACGGUCGCAAGAUUAAAACUCAAAAAGGAAUUGACGGGGACCCGCACAAGCGGUGGAUGAUGUGAUUAAUUCGAUGCAACGCGAAAAACCUUACCUACCCUUGAUAUGUCUGGAAUCCCGAAGAGAUUUGGGAGUGCUCGCAAGAGAACUGUCAGAACACAGGUGCUGCAUGGCUGUCGUCAGCUCGUGUCGUGAGAUGUUGGGUUAAGUCUCGCAACGAGCGCAACCCUUGUCAUUAGUUGCUACGAAAGGGCACUCUAAUGAGACUGCCGGUGACAAACCGGAGGAAGGUGGGGAUGACGUCAAGUCCUCAUGGCCCUGGCGGGUGGGGGCUUCACACGUCAUACAAUGGUCGGGACAGAGGGUCACGUCCGGGCGAGGGGGAGCCAAUCCCAGAAACCCGAUCGUAGUCCGACUGCAGUCUGCAACUCGACUGCGUGAAGUCGGAAUCGCUAGUAUCGCGGAUCAGCAUGUCGCGGUGAAUACGGUCCCGGGUCUUGUACACACCGCCCGUCACACCAUGGGAGUGGGUUUUACCAGAAGUAGUUAGGCCUAACCGUAAGGAGGGCGAUUACCACGGUAGGAUUCAUGCACCGGGUGAAGUCGUAACAAGGUAA
RNAcentral lists this ribosomal RNA (1484 nucleotides) under uncultured Bordetella sp. Its description in RNAcentral is "partial 16S-23S ribosomal RNA intergenic spacer". It matches the Rfam family "Bacterial small subunit ribosomal RNA". The record is from RNAcentral. Lineage: Bacteria; Pseudomonadati; Pseudomonadota; Betaproteobacteria; Burkholderiales; Alcaligenaceae.